Molecule: ribosomal RNA, 494 nt
Filed under: uncultured Comamonadaceae bacterium
Lineage: Bacteria; Pseudomonadati; Pseudomonadota; Betaproteobacteria; Burkholderiales; Comamonadaceae
Description: bacterial SSU rRNA
Rfam family: Bacterial small subunit ribosomal RNA
Source: RNAcentral
UAUCCUGGCUCAGAUUGAACGCUGCGGCAUGCCUUACACAUGCAAGUCGAACGGUAACAGGUCUUCGGAUGCUGACGAGUGGCGAACGGGUGAGUAAUACAUCGGAACGUGCCCAAUCGUGGGGGAUAGCUCGGCGAAAGCCGGAUUAAUACCGCAUACGAUCUACGGAUGAAAGCAGGGGAUCGCAAGACCUUGCGCGAAUGGAGCGGCCGAUGGCAGAUUAGGUAGUUGGUGGGGUAAAGGCUCACCAAGCCGACGAUCUGUAGCUGGUCUGAGAGGACGACCAGCCACACUGGGACUGAGACACGGCCCAGACUCCUACGGGAGGCAGCAGUGGGGAAUUUUGGACAAUGGGCGCAAGCCUGAUCCAGCAAUGCCGCGUGCAGGAUGAAGGCCUUCGGGUUGUAAACUGCUUUUGUACGGAACGAAAAGGCUCUGGUUAAUACCUGGGGCUCAUGACGGUACCGUAAGAAUAAGCACCGGCUAACUACGUG